GUUUGCUUUCCAGCUGUACAGCCUUUUCAUAGGCCGCCUCUUCUGCGUCUACGAGGGGGACACGGAGGAUGUGGCCCAUCUACAGGAGGCCAAACUGUCGGCGCACGGGGAGGCACCGCGGUCCAGAGGCCGCCUGACUGACGCCGGGUCUUCCGGCAGACCCACCACCAAAGAGCUGCUUCGGCACUGUCGCUCGCUUUCUGUAUGCAUGUCAGCACUGUUUACUAAAAGCCUGCUGCAGGUACAAGUGCCCUGCACUUCCAGGCAUACCUGCUUGAAGGGUUAGUGAGCUGGAAAAAGGACUACGCGGCAGCAGCAGCGGAGGGAAGCAAUCUUACUCAGGUCUGCAACAGCACUAUGCCAGCUAGCUGAGGACUACACUAGGCCUGGAGAGUAUACAGGUAAUAUCCUCCCUCUCUCUCAUAUUCACACACACCCACACGUGUGCCCACUUAACCUUUUUUUUCCCCUCUGUGAUGUAUUAAACACUUGUAUACGUGAACUCAUCUGGAUGGAGUAUCUGUACUCUCAAACUGGCGUAGUGCUGCAUGAGUACCUCGGCAGGGAUCCAGACACUCCAGAUGGGCUUAGCAAUGAGGACCUGCCAGAGCUGGAGGACAAGGGCCUCGAGGAUGUGGACGUGGGGUUCAAUGCGUUUGCGGACCCCACAUGCUCCGAGCACAGUCUCAAACCACUGGAGAGUUUAAAAGGAGCCACGCUAAGACCUCUGUUGUAGCUGGAACAGAGAUUGAAGUGUGGCCCAGCGUCAGGUGCUUUGUCGGCUUCACCCGGCCAGUCAGACCAUUGCCGGCGUCGGGGUGAACAGGUGGGCUGCAGUCAUGAGGGAUUGGUGUCAUCAGGGACGUAGUCCUCGGCUGCCCCGGCCUCCUGAGCCAGACCCGUAUUCGACUUUGAGUUGAAGCGGCAGACACUGACUACACAGGCUGAGCACUAAUAGGCGGUGCUGCUUUUUGUUACAGAUGGAUGUUGUUGCACCUGAGCGUUGGCUGGUCCAGCGCUCCCAGAGCAUCUGAUUCAUGGAACACCUUACUUUUGACUAACAUCCAGCAGGAUGCAUCUGAGCAAGCUUCUCUCUACUGGUUGUAGGCCUCCAUCAGUCCUCAUCACUGAUGUACAGCCUUUGGAUUCAUUUGUGAGGCAUUUUCUGGACUUGAUGUUGGGAACUGCCAGUUUAUGGUGCGUGCUGUGUAUCUGAUGAUGGGAGGGCAUAUAUUUUUAUGGUUUUGACCUUUUUUAUACUUUCCAUUCAACUGGUUGAGUAACACUACCCCAUACAAGUAAAAUGCAACAAUGCUAGGUCAUAGUAUCAAGCGUGAGGAUAAUGACUCAGGUUUUUCCUCUCCCAAUGACAAGUUUUUAUUUUUAGAAUUCUAAUGCUGGAAGAAAAUUAGUCUAAUUUUAAGAAAAAAAAGGAGAAAAAAAAGUGCAACAAUGAAGACAUUUUUGAUAGCUUAUUUGAUUUAUUAUGAAGCAAACAUAUUAUGAAUACCACACUACUUGGUUAUAAAAGAACAAUGUUACCAUGUUAUAUAUGUUACCAGGGAGGUGUGGCCUGUGAUGCUUUAACAGGGUUAGUAUAAAAGGAUACUGUUAUUUUACUAAAAGGAGGUUAAAUUAAUGCAAUAUCAUAACAAAAUGCCUGGUUUGGUAGUGGAAACAGAACAAGUAAAUAACAUAUUGCAAAUGAGUACUCUAAAAUGCAUCAUUAAAUACAAUAUUAAAUGUGAAUUUUCCCAAGGACUACGAGCUCAGUCAGUCAUUCAUCACUACACCAUACAAAGGGAGAUAUGACCAAAUCUAUUGCAAUACCAUAUUAAAAAGUGAUCCAUUUUUGCACUUACUCAGUAUAUAACCGUCUAAAAUAAAAAAAAAAAAAAACAUCUAAAAGGUUUUUAGGAGGCAUUUUGCAACAAGGCAAAAUCACUCUUUGAAAAUCAGACUGGACAAAAUCUUUUAACAGUGCAAAGCCUGUACAUACUAUACUCUAUGGACUGUUUAUGAAAGUACACCCAGUGUACAUGCACACCUUAUAUCUGGUCU
Electrophorus electricus (electric eel) is the source of this 2061-nucleotide long non-coding RNA. RefSeq lists it as uncharacterized. The record is from RefSeq and is a predicted model, not a curated record. Lineage: Eukaryota; Metazoa; Chordata; Actinopteri; Gymnotiformes; Gymnotidae.